RNAcentral lists this ribosomal RNA (229 nucleotides) under uncultured bacterium. Its description in RNAcentral is "partial 16S ribosomal RNA". It matches the Rfam family "Bacterial small subunit ribosomal RNA", at positions 568 to 796 of the family's 1533-position model. The record is from RNAcentral.
UGCGUAGGCGGACUAAUAGGUCAGUGGUGAAAUCUCUCGGCUCAACCGGGAAACUGCCAUUGAUACUGUUAGUCUUGAGUUCGGUUGAGGUAGGCGGAAUGUGUAAUGUAGCGGUGAAAUGCUUAGAUAUUACACAGAACACCAAUUGCGUAGGCAGCUUACUAGACCGACACUGACGCUGAGGCACGAAAGCGUGGGUAGCGAACAGGAUUAGAUACCCUGGUAGUCC